AACGCACAUUGCGCCCCUUGGUAUUCCGGGGGGCAUGCCCGUUCGAGCGUCAUUACACCACUCAAGCCUGGCUUGGUAUUGGGCGUCCGGCACUCACCUGCCCGCCCCAAAUUCUCUUCGGCUGAUCGGUUUACUUUCUUAGCGUUGGAGUGUUGCCAUUACGUUCCGCUAAUCGAAAGACGCCGGCCGGCCGUUAAACCAUUUAAUCACGGUUGACCUCGGAUCGGGUAGGGAUACCCGCUGAACUUAA
Molecule: unclassified non-coding RNA, 250 nt
Filed under: uncultured fungus
Lineage: Eukaryota; Fungi
Description: partial contains 5.8S ribosomal RNA, internal transcribed spacer 2, and large subunit ribosomal RNA
Source: RNAcentral